GGGUUGUGAGGUUAAGCGACUAAGCGUACACGGUGGAUGCCCUGGCAGUCAGAGGCGAUGAAGGACGUGCUAAUCUGCGAAAAGCGUCGGUAAGGUGAUAUGAACCGUUAUAACCGGCGAUGUCCGAAUGGGGAAACCCAGUGUGAUUCGUCACACUAUCGUUAACUAAAUACAUAGGUUAACGAGGCGAACCGGGGGAACUGAAACAUCUAAGUACCCCGAGGAAAAGAAAUCAACCGAGAUUCCCCCAGUAGCGGCGAGCGAACGGGGAGCAGCCCAGAGUCUGAAUCAGCUUGUGUGUUAGUGGAACGGUCUGGAAAGUCCGACGGUACAGGGUGAUAGUCCCGUACACCAAAAUGCACAGGCUGUGAACUCGAAGAGUAGGGCGGGACACGUGGUAUCCUGUCUGAAUAUGGGGGGACCAUCCUCCAAGGCUAAAUACUCCUGACUGACCGAUAGUGAACCAGUACCGUGAGGGAAAGGCGAAAAGAACCCCGGCGAGGGGAGUGAAAAAGAACCUGAAACCGUGUACGUACAAGCAGUGGGAGCACCUUCGGGUGUGACUGCGUACCUUUUGUAUAAUGGGUCAGCGACUUAUAUUCUGUAGCAAGGUUAACCGUAUAGGGGAGCCGCAGGGAAACCGAGUCUUAACUGGGCGUUAAGUUGCAGGGUAUAGACCCGAAACCCGGUGAUCUAGCCAUGGGCAGGUUGAAGGUUGGGUAACACUAACUGGAGGACCGAACCGACUAAUGUUGAAAAAUUAGCGGAUGACUUGUGGCUGGGGGUGAAAGGCCAAUCAAACCGGGAGAUAGCUGGUUCUCCCCGAAAGCUAUUUAGGUAGCGCCUCGUGAACUCAUCUUCGGGGGUAGAGCACUGUUUCGGCUAGGGGGUCAUCCCGACUUACCAACCCGAUGCAAACUACGAAUACCGAAGAAUGUUAUCACGGGAGACACACGGCGGGUGCUAACGUCCGUCGUGAAGAGGGAAACAACCCAGACCGCCAGCUAAGGUCCCAAAGUCAUGGUUAAGUGGGAAACGAUGUGGGAAGGCACAGACAGCCGGAUGUUGGCUUAGAAGCAGCCAUCAUUUAAAGAAAGCGUAAUAGCUCACUGGUCGAGUCGGCCUGCGCGGAAGAUGUAACGGGGCUAAACCAUGCACCGAAGCUGCGGCAGCGACGCUUAUGCGUUGUUGGGUAGGGGAGCGUUCUGUAAGCCUGCGAAGGUGACCUGUGAGGGUUGCUGGAGGUAUCAGAAGUGCGAAUGCUGACAUAAGUAACGAUAAAGCGGGUGAAAAGCCCGCUCGCCGGAAGACCAAGGGUUCCUGUCCAACGUUAAUCGGGGCAGGGUGAGUCGACCCUAAGGCGAGGCCGAAAGGCGUAGUCGAUGGGAAACAGGUUAAUAUUCCUGUACUUGGUGUUACUGCGAAGGGGACGGAGAAGGCUAUGUUAGCCGGGCGACGGUUGUCCCGGUUUAAGCAUGUAGGCUGGUUAUCCAGGCAAAUCCGGAUAAUCAAGGCUGAGGUGUGAUGACGAGGCACUACGGUGCUGAAGUAACAAAUGCCCUGCUUCCAGGAAAAGCCUCUAAGCAUCAGGUAACAUCAAAUCGUACCCCAAACCGACACAGGUGGUCAGGUAGAGAAUACCAAGGCGCUUGAGAGAACUCGGGUGAAGGAACUAGGCAAAAUGGUGCCGUAACUUCGGGAGAAGGCACGCUGGUGUGUAGGUGAAGUCCCUGCGGAUGGAGCUGAGACCAGUCGAAGAUACCAGCUGGCUGCAACUGUUUAUUAAAAACACAGCACUGUGCAAACACGAAAGUGGACGUAUACGGUGUGACGCCUGCCCGGUGCCGGAAGGUUAAUUGAUGGGGUUAUCCGUAAGGAGAAGCUCUUGAUCGAAGCCCGGUAAACGGCGGCCGUAACUAUAACGGUCCUAAGGUAGCGAAAUUCCUUGUCGGGUAAGUUCCGACCUGCACGAAUGGCGUAAUGAUGGCCAGGCUGUCUCCACCCGAGACUCAGUGAAAUUGAACUCGCUGUGAAGAUGCAGUGUACCCGCGGCAAGACGGAAAGACCCCGUGAACCUUUACUAUAGCUUGACACUGAACAUUGAGCCUUGAUGUGUAGGAUAGGUGGGAGGCUUUGAAGCGUGGACGCCAGUCUGCGUGGAGCCAACCUUGAAAUACCACCCUUUAAUGUUUGAUGUUCUAACGUUGGCCCCUUAUCGGGGUUGCGGACAGUGUCUGGUGGGUAGUUUGACUGGGGCGGUCUCCUCCCAAAGCGUAACGGAGGAGCACGAAGGUUAGCUAAUCCUGGUCGGACAUCAGGAGGUUAGUGCAAUGGCAUAAGCUAGCUUGACUGCGAGCGUGACGGCGCGAGCAGGUGCGAAAGCAGGUCAUAGUGAUCCGGUGGUUCUGAAUGGAAGGGCCAUCGCUCAACGGAUAAAAGGUACUCCGGGGAUAACAGGCUGAUACCGCCCAAGAGUUCAUAUCGACGGCGGUGUUUGGCACCUCGAUGUCGGCUCAUCACAUCCUGGGGCUGAAGUAGGUCCCAAGGGUAUGGCUGUUCGCCAUUUAAAGUGGUACGCGAGCUGGGUUUAGAACGUCGUGAGACAGUUCGGUCCCUAUCUGCCGUGGGCGCUGGAGAAUUGAGGGGGGGGCUGCUCCUAGUACGAGAGGACCGGAGUGGACGCAUCACUGGUGUUCGGGUUGUCAUGCCAAUGGCACUGCCCGGUAGCUAAAUGCGGAAGAGAUAAGUGCUGAAAGCAUCUAAGCACGAAACUUGCCCCGAGAUGAGUUCUCCCUGAGACUUUAAGUCUCCUGAAGGAACGUUGAAGACGACGACGUUGAUAGGCCGGGUGUGUAAGCGCAGCGAUGCGUUGAGCUAACCGGUACUAAUGAACCGUGAGGCUUAACCUUACAACGCCGAAG
This 2921-nucleotide ribosomal RNA is filed under the name Klebsiella quasipneumoniae. Its description in RNAcentral is "23S ribosomal RNA". It matches the Rfam family "Bacterial large subunit ribosomal RNA". The record is from RNAcentral. Lineage: Bacteria; Pseudomonadati; Pseudomonadota; Gammaproteobacteria; Enterobacterales; Enterobacteriaceae.